AAAAAAAAGGAAGAUUCUUUUGUUCCUCAGCAGGUGUGUGCAGUGCACCAGAGACUGGCUCUGGUGAUCUGGUCAUUAUACUCUGUCAUCUCCAUCUUGAGGAUGUAGGGAAUUAUGCUAUCAAAAUAUUGACAAUGAGGCCAAUAAAAAUAAAUAAACAAAUAAAUAAAAUGAAAUAAAUUAAGUUCUGUUACUGUUGGAGCUCAUCAGCAUGUGGCCAGUGGAUAUAUGAGAAUCUGAGCCACUCAGAAGGUGUCUUCUGAGUAGGGUUUCUGAACAUAGUCUUGUAAGUCUAUCUCUAUUUUUUCUUGGACUUUUUCAGUCUGGUUUGUGCUGGUCAAACCUGGAUGGUCAGGACUAAAGAGAACUGUAGCUUUAAGGUAUGCAUACUCACAGCUGUCUAUGUUCAGCUUCACCCUACUGUUAAUAGAAGUCCUGCUGAUGCUUCCAGAUGUGCUCCUUGACUUGCUUUAUCCAGUAACCAGAAAGUUUAUCUUCAUUGAUGCAGUUCUACAGGUUAUUGGAGAGACUUAAACCUGGGCACACUGGGUCAGGCCAAGGGUGAAGAGCUCAUUCCAACAGGACAGCUUGAGGCUGGCGUUGCAUCCCUGACCAAGUGUCUGAACUGCUGGGAUUGACCUGAGGUGAUGCAUGGGGAGGAAAAGCAAGUGUGAUGUAGACUUGCAGAUGUAGCCCAUGUUGAGGUACUCGUAUCAUUAUAAGCUUACAUGUGUUCUAAGUGUCUAAAAGGAGGAAGCCUUUGACCUCAAUGGUGGGUGGAGACUGGUCUCCAGUGAUAACAUGGAUGCUCCAUGGAUCCUCUACUGGUGUCUGUCCUCCCUGCUAGGCUUGGAGACAUGAAGCUGUCUGUGGUAUUAGUGCUUUUGCUAACUUACAGAGGAAAUAUUGGCAGCAGUAACAAUGUUGAACAAUUGGACACUGGAUAUACAAAAGAUAAUAUGUUCAUAUUUUGGAAUACUAUGCAUCUAUAUCAAAUGGUAUUAUACAUAAUAACCUUCAUUAAGAAAAAACAAAGCUAAAAAAAAUAAAAAACAAAGCUUGAAAAUAGCUGUAUUAUAU
RNAcentral lists this long non-coding RNA (1080 nucleotides) under Vulpes vulpes (red fox). RNAcentral's name for it is "lncRNA (ENSVVUG00000000427.1)". The record is from RNAcentral. Lineage: Eukaryota; Metazoa; Chordata; Mammalia; Carnivora; Canidae.